Molecule: ribosomal RNA, 247 nt
Filed under: uncultured Actinomycetales bacterium
Lineage: Bacteria; Bacillati; Actinomycetota; Actinomycetes; Actinomycetales
Description: partial 16S ribosomal RNA
Rfam family: Bacterial small subunit ribosomal RNA
Source: RNAcentral
ACUGGUACUCGAGUGGCGAACGGGUGAGUAACACGUGGGUGAUCUGCCUUGCACUCUGGGAUAAGCUUGGGAAACUGGGUCUAAUACCGGAUAGGAACCGUCUUUAGUGUGGUGGUUGGAAAGUUUUUCGGUGCAAGAUGAGCUCGCGGCCUAUCAGCUUGUUGGUGGGGUAAUGGCCUACCAAGGCGACGACGGGUAGCCGGCCUGAGAGGGUGUACGGCCACAUUGGGACUGAGAUACGGCCCAG